UAACCGCCUAAGGGUCGCAAGACCCCGGCAAGGGUGAAAAGGUGCGGUAAGAGCGCACCGCGCGGGUGGCAACACUUCGCGGCUUAGGUAAACCCCACCCGGAGCAAGACCAAAUAGGGAAGCAGCAUUCCGCAAGGAAGGCACCGUCGCCCCGCGGGCUUCCGGGUAGGUCGCUUGAGGUCGUUGGUGACAACGAUCCCAGAGGAAUGAUUGUCCACGACAGAACCCGGCUUAUCGGCCGACUCGCUCU
RNAcentral lists this RNase P RNA (250 nucleotides) under Gammaproteobacteria bacterium. RNAcentral describes it as "partial RNase P RNA component class A". It matches the Rfam family "Bacterial RNase P class A", at positions 123 to 367 of the family's 367-position model. From Rfam's summary of the family: Ribonuclease P (RNase P) is a ubiquitous endoribonuclease, found in archaea, bacteria and eukarya as well as chloroplasts and mitochondria. Its best characterised activity is the generation of mature 5'-ends of tRNAs by cleaving the 5'-leader elements of precursor-tRNAs. The record is from RNAcentral. Lineage: Bacteria; Pseudomonadati; Pseudomonadota; Gammaproteobacteria.